This is a long non-coding RNA of Prionailurus viverrinus (fishing cat), 209 nucleotides long. RefSeq lists it as uncharacterized. The record is from RefSeq and is a predicted model, not a curated record. NCBI's taxonomy places the organism in Eukaryota, Metazoa, Chordata, Mammalia, Carnivora, Felidae. The transcript has 3 exons.
AGCAGACAGACUGUAAAAGCAGAUUUAUAUGCAAUGACACUGGGUCCGGUGUUGGGGAGGAUCAGAGGUCACGAGCAUCACAGGCCAUAUGACAAGGGCAGUGACUGGCUUUUUGUCCGUGACCUCCCGGAAUCCAGUACCUGAAUUUCGGCACACAGUGGGCGCUCGAUGGCAUUUGCUGAAUGAACGCGGGAGCAAAUGAAUAGUAU